Long non-coding RNA from Gopherus evgoodei (Goodes thornscrub tortoise), 588 nucleotides. RefSeq lists it as uncharacterized. The transcript is spliced from 6 exons. NCBI's taxonomy places the organism in Eukaryota, Metazoa, Chordata, Testudines, Testudinidae. The record is from RefSeq and is a predicted model, not a curated record.
CUACCACUUCCUCUCAUCUUUCUCUCUAUCAUCAUCACUGUGUUUCCUGCACGUUCCCUGUUCCUGUGCUCCCAGACCAGCGUGCUUGGGCACCCAGGGAGUGUGCUGCAGAGCUCGGAAGCUGAGUCAGGAGUUCUGAUGCUUCAUUCUGCCCUUUGCUCCAGCAGAUUCCCUUCCAGAGCUGCUGAAAAUGGAAUUAAUGAGCUGGGAGGAAACAGUUGUUUUGGAGAAAUGCCACGUUCCAGAUAUGGGGCUCAGUGAGCUGGUGAAGUUGGGAAGCCAGGGAGUCCAUGUUGCAAUGUGAGGAAGUUGGGGGCAAGAACUCUGAAGACAAGAUUGGCUGGUUUCGCUUCUCCCUCCUCACCCUGGAUCCCUUAUAGGAAUCACAGAUGGAUGAUUUGAGAUGAGCCUUAAAGGAAAGGAAAAUGUAUCUUUCUCUCCACCAGCAUCAACUAUAAGAGAGAAUUUGGGGCCUGAAGAUUAAAAGAUUUGCCCCAUCUCUGAUCUGCAUCACAAAGACUCUUUGAAGUUAUGUUCAGGAAAGGCUAUACUAAAAACAGGAUAAAUAAUAAAACUAGAUUGAAUGGA